GUAUUUUAAUUCAGAUAAAAAAUCGAAAUAUUAGAUGAAAAUUCGUUGAGGGGCAUAAAUGGUAUCAUCUUUUUACUGAAUACCGUCCAAAAAUAACUCCCGAAAAUCACUCCAUUUACCAACCACUCCCACCACGUCUAGGCAUACAGAAACGUUGACUCCUCAUCUACAGAGCAGCAGCGGCGAUUCCACUCUAGUAGUUUUCGACGGCGGCUUGAAUCGUGUAAUUUCCGGCGACGCUCCAUGAAAAGAGUAUUUGGGCAAUCCCGGUAAUCCCCUGUCAUCGCCUCUACAUCACCCGCCACCACCCCAUUCUCGUCGUCGGUUGCGGCAAUUCCGAUAUGGUUAUAGAUGUACAAGAUAUGAGUGCCUUUGACACGGGAUCUUUUGCUGCUGACUGCUAUUAUAGAUGAAGGUAGUAUUUUUUGCCAUGAUGUAUUUAUCUUUAAAAACAAUGUUUGCAGUAUUUUCUGAUGCUUUUCGAUGCAUUCUUCCAUGAAUACUGGACUCUCUUUUGGUGAGUUAUCUAUAUUAUUUUAGGUGUUUUCUUUUCAGACUUGUUAUUAGUAAGAAUAAAUAUUUCUCUUUUUCCUUUUCAACUUCAAAUCCUUUGCCCAUUUUCUAAUUCUCUUGUUGCUUUAUCAAAUUCACUCUUCCAAUAAGUUGAAGCAGCUGAUGACAAACUAUAGGGUACUCAAGGAUAAGGGAGUACAUGUUCUGGGCUGAAAAUGCAACAUAUUUAGUAAACGACCACAACAAUUCUCAAGGAUGCGCAUACAGUAUUGUGCAUCCAUUUUGGCGUGCAUGGGAGGAAAAUGAGGUGAAAAAGGCCGUUGUGGACAAAGCUUCACAUACUUUUGGAGAAAUGUACAAGGAUCCAAAAUUCAAUGUAAAUUCGACGCUACUAGGGUAAAAUUUGGGCACGGAAGAGUCCCAUAAAAAAAUUUAUAUUUUUUUGAUGAUUGAAGUCAUUUGAAACAUAUGUUUUAGAUGAUACAAUAAAGUCUGAAUUUUGUGUCAAUUGAUUUUGUUUGACUUCCAUUGGUUUGUGAUGUGAAAUUGUAGAAUUAUAA
Salvia miltiorrhiza (redroot sage) is the source of this 1073-nucleotide long non-coding RNA. RefSeq lists it as uncharacterized. The record is from RefSeq and is a predicted model, not a curated record. NCBI's taxonomy places the organism in Eukaryota, Viridiplantae, Streptophyta, Magnoliopsida, Lamiales, Lamiaceae. The transcript is spliced from 4 exons.